GACGAACGCUGGCGGCGUGCUUAACACAUGCAAGUCGAACGCAAAGGCUCUGCUUUUGUACGGUGCUCAAGUGUCGAAAGGGUGUGUAACACGUGAGUAACCUGCCCUUGACUUUGGGAUAACUUCAGGAAACUGGGUCUCUUACCCGAUAUAAGCUCCUGCAUCAUGUGGGGGGUUGGAAAGUUUCGGAGGUUGGGGAUGAACUCGCGGCUUAUCAGCUUGUUGGUUGGGUAGUGGCUUACCAAGGCAUUGACGGAUAGCCGGCCUGAGAGGGUGACCGGCCACAGAGGGACUGAGAAACGACCCAGACUCAUACGGGAGGCAGCAGUGGGGAAUAGUGCAAAAUGGGCGGAAGCCUGAAGCAGCGACGCCGGGUGCGGGAUGACGGCCGUAGGGGUGGAAACCGCGUGAGCCUGGGACGAAGAGUGAGUGACGGUAAUGGGUAAAGAAGGAACGGCUAACUACGUG
Molecule: ribosomal RNA, 468 nt
Filed under: uncultured bacterium
Lineage: Bacteria
Description: partial 16S ribosomal RNA
Rfam family: Bacterial small subunit ribosomal RNA
Source: RNAcentral